Molecule: unclassified non-coding RNA, 380 nt
Filed under: uncultured bacterium
Lineage: Bacteria
Description: contains 16S-23S intergenic spacer region
Source: RNAcentral
UCCGGUUUAACACCGGCAGUCUCCAUAGAGUGCCCAACUGAAUGAUGGCAACUAAGGACAAGGGUUGCGCUCGUUAAGGGACUUAACCCGACAUCUCACGAUACGAGCUGACGACAGCCAUGCAGCACCUCUGCUGGCUCCCUUGCGGGUCAGCCUCUGUUUCCAAAGACUUACCACCAGUAGUUCAAGCCCAGGUAAGGUUCUUCGCGUUGCGUCGAAUUAAACCACAUGCUCCACCGCUUGUGCGGGCCCCCGUCAAUUCCUUUGAGUUUUAAUCUUGCGACCGUACUCCCCAGGCGGAUGACUUCUCGCGUUAGCUGCGUUACUAAAGGAUUUAACUCCUCCAACAACUAGUCAUCAUCGUUUAGGGCGUGGACUAC